GUGCCAGCAGCCGCGGUAAUACGUAGGUGGCAAGCGUUAUCCGGAAUUAUUGGGUGUAAAGCGCGCGUAGGCGGUUUUUUAAGUCUGAUGUGAAAGCCCACGGCUCAACCGUGGAGGGUCAUUGGAAACUGGAAAACUUGAGUGCAGAAGAGGAAAGUGGAAUUCCAUGUGUAGCGGUGAAAUGCGCAGAGAUAUGGAGGAACACCAGUGGCGAAGGCGACUUUCUGGUCUGUAACUGACGCUGAUGUGCGAAAGCGUGGGGAUCAAAC
RNAcentral lists this ribosomal RNA (269 nucleotides) under uncultured Staphylococcus sp. RNAcentral's name for it is "partial 16S ribosomal RNA". It matches the Rfam family "Bacterial small subunit ribosomal RNA", at positions 505 to 773 of the family's 1533-position model. The record is from RNAcentral. Lineage: Bacteria; Bacillati; Bacillota; Bacilli; Caryophanales; Staphylococcaceae.